RNAcentral lists this long non-coding RNA (991 nucleotides) under Corvus moneduloides (New Caledonian crow). RNAcentral describes it as "lncRNA (ENSCMUG00000017438.1)". The record is from RNAcentral. Lineage: Eukaryota; Metazoa; Chordata; Aves; Passeriformes; Corvidae.
GGCAUUUGUUUACUUUGCUGAUGUUGAGCUCCAUUCUUCUGUAUUUGUUUUCUUUUUCUUUCCUAGGGUGAUAGGGUUGAAGCAACAGGAUGAGAGAUCUCAAGCAUGCUGCUAAAUAUUGUAGUCUGACAAAACUAUAUGGCUUCCUUUAUCAAGACAGCUGUGUUUUUACAUAAAUAAUCUUAAUUUGGCCUGCUCAAGGAUUACGCCUUGUACUCCAGCACACUACCUUGAAAGGUCACCUUGACUUCCCCAAGGAGUUUACUUCAAGGCAUUCAGGAUGCCAGUCCAGAAAGCCUCACAGACUGAGGAUAACCAAAACAUAUCCCACCUUCCUCAAUUGCCUUUUGGAAGUAUUCAGACAUUGUGUGAUACAAUUGAACUCUAAAUUUUAUGCGAGCAUUUGACAUUUAUUUUAGUAUGCUAUUUCAUUGUUAAUGUCAGGUAUCACAUGGAUUCCUUAUCACUUUCAAACCGGUUAAGUAUAAAAAUGAUUUAUUGCAAAGAGUUUCGUGCUCUGUGGUUGUAAACCCAACAGCUGUCAGCACUAGCACAUUUAAUGCAAUAUUUUUUUUUUGAUGAAAGUUUAAAGCACUUCAUCCUCACUUUGAUAUUCAUGGAUAGCAUCAAAAACAAGGGACACAAAUAUAAAUUUAGCUUGUAAUGGGAAUUAUCGUAGAACUAGUGUCAGUGAAUUAUUACAGACGGUGAAUUAUUACGUCUCUUCUGUAGCAUUCAAUCUUCCCUGCUGGAUUGUUUGAUUCAAUAUUUUGUCCAUCAUUAAAAAAAAAAAAAAAGCCACUAUACUCUGUGUUCUGUGUGAAAAUAUCCUUGAUAGUUGGAACUUGGAUUUUGUACUCUUCCAGCCCUAGCUGCACUUCUUCCAGAUGCUUCUACAAUGGUGACAAAUUAGAAAGGCAGGUCCUAACCUGAAGUGAGAACAUUUACCCGGUCUGUUAUUCCACAAGGUAUUUCUUUUGAGUCCUUCAGA